RNAcentral lists this unclassified non-coding RNA (305 nucleotides) under Hevea brasiliensis (rubber tree). The record is from RNAcentral. Lineage: Eukaryota; Viridiplantae; Streptophyta; Magnoliopsida; Malpighiales; Euphorbiaceae.
AAGAUAACGUAACGAAUCACUACAGUUAUCAAACAUGGUAUCAGAGACAGGUCCAGAUAACGCAUUCUCAGAGAGAUCAAGAAACUGUAAAGAUGUCAUUUUCGAAAAAGAUCCAGGGAUAUUCCCUGAUAAGCCAUUAUGACUAAAGUUGAGAUUUUCAAGAUUUGUCAACAAGGCUAACUCAGGGCUAAUUGCACCAGUAAAGUUGUUGUUUGACAAAGAUAGUACCUUUAAAGAUUGCAACUUCUCGAGCCCCCUACCGAUCUUUCCUGAUAAACUUAAACCAUUUAAGUUGAGCUCAUUGA